This 260-nucleotide ribosomal RNA is filed under the name uncultured soil bacterium. RNAcentral's name for it is "partial 16S ribosomal RNA". It matches the Rfam family "Bacterial small subunit ribosomal RNA", at positions 26 to 287 of the family's 1533-position model. The record is from RNAcentral.
AGGACGAACGCUGGCGGCGUGCCUAACACAUGCAAGUCGAACGGGGCCAGGGGCAACUCUGGUUCAGUGGCGGACGGGUGCGUAACACGUGAGGAACAUGUCUUUCGGUGGGGGAUAGCCGGCCCAACGGCCGGGUAAUACCGCAUACGCUGACCUGGGUGCAUACCCGGGUUCGGAAAGCAGCAAUGCGCCGAUUGAGUGCCUCGCGGCCUAUCAGCUAGUUGGUGAGGUAAUGGCUCACCAAGGCGACGACGGGUAGC